This is a non-coding RNA of Osmia lignaria (orchard mason bee), 6052 nucleotides long. Lineage: Eukaryota; Metazoa; Arthropoda; Insecta; Hymenoptera; Megachilidae. The record is from RefSeq and is a predicted model, not a curated record.
CGCACCCUUCUUGGGGAAGAAAAAAUUAACCCAAGGAAUGUUACGCGAUUUUGCAGGAACAUGACACCUUUCACUGGCAAAAUGGAAAUAUCUUUGAAACAUUCAGGUUUGGAUGAGUGUCUUCCUAGACCCAGAUAACCUAGAACGGAGCUCCCCCACAGAUUUAUCGUCGCGUCUCAGAGCCAUUGUUUACGUCUCGGACGGGCUUCGUAAAUUCCCGUUUUAAAGUGCCCUGGAAAUUGUCUGCACCCACAAUUUCGACGCUCGUAUCUCUGUUCUUUAAGAUAAUGCUCGCUUGCUUUUCUUCUACAGUAGUUUUUGAUAGGGGAGACACCUUUGUCUCUGUGGAUGAAUUUGCUUACAAGAGCAAGGUGUAUAGAAUGUUUUCAAGGUAUUUGAUAAUUUUUACUAAUUUCACUCAAUCAAAAAUUGGAUUUCCAAGCGGUAUAUAAAUAACAAAGUUAUCUGGAAUACGGUGGACCGACUUCAUAAAUUUUGAUGCUAGGAGGUCAAGAAUGACCACCCCUAUUUCAAAAAUUGAACAAGAAGCUUCGCCAUCGCAGCUGCAACGAUGAAAGUUACCACACCAUAUCUGUAAAAACUUUGAUUAAUUUCACCCGGAAGCAACAUUUCAUCUAAGUAUUAGAGUGUAGAUUUUAUACGAAAUAGCUCCUGGAUAAACCACGAGAGCAAUUUUUAUCAAAAACUUUGAUUAACUUGUCACACGAAGAUCAGCCCCCUCGAAAGUUCAGUUUCACGAGGAGAAAUUUCUAACUAAACUUCAUACUGUUCUCUAUAUUUUAAAAGAACGAAUUUAAGAAAAUAACUGUAUUUUAUCCUAAUUAUAGAAAGGAUUCGUACUUAAACCCUUCGCUCUUCGAAGGAAGCAAAGAUCACUAUCUCAACCCUUUAUCCUGAAAAAAGAACAAAGAAGAAGAAGAAAGAGCUCAUUUUCUCGUUUCCAUUGCACCAGGAACCAUCGUCGAGGGGUCUGAAUUUCAGAACGCAGCUGGUCGAACCAGGAAUCGGCCAUGUUUGGGCGAAGAGGGAAAGAAAGAGAUAGAAAGCCGAUCGAAGGAAAGGAAGUAGGGAUCUCCGUCGAUCCGAGCAUCACGAUUCAACGAGGCUCGAUGCUCUUCCCUAUGGAAGGGAUGACGGGUCUAGAAUGUCGAACCGUUUUGGGGGUAGGUUGCUUCGAAAACCACCCCCUCCGGCUACCGAGAAUAAUCCAGAGUAUAAAUUGGAUUGUCGGUGGAACGUGGAAACUGAACGUGGCAGAAGGGGAUCGAAUGGUGCUUGCAAAUAGAGAAGAGAAAGGUAACACUGUGAACUGGAGCGCACACGGAUAUAGUCGACACCUUUCAACACAUGGAAAUCAGGCUUCACGAACGUACCACGUGGAUACGUGCCAAAGGGGAACCUCUAUCCUUCGUGAUUUUCGCUGCUGGCUCGUCGCGACGAUUGCCAGGGAGGAAACUAACGUCGAAUUAUGCUCGCGUGCCUGCUCGCUCGAUUACGCUCGUGUUAUCGCGCUACCUUUUGCUAUCUAACUAAUUUCACGUCCACCGAUUUCUCUACUCGCAUCGUCGCUUUAAAGUAUUCAUGUUGAUCGCAAAAUUUUAAAUAUUUUCCAGCCUUAAAUUUGAUUUCAAAGUCGACCAUGUAUGUGAACUUGAAGUGUUUUAGUUAACAUUUAUAAAUGUUAUAGAAAUUUUCAAAAGAUCCCGUGAUAAGUUAUUGACAAUCGUAUCCCUGGCUACAAAAAGAGGAUAACACCAAAAUGAAAGCAAGUGGAAGGAAAAUGAAGGAAACAGAGAACUCAUCGCGAAAAUGGAAGGGAUUAAUCUCCGACGAUGAUCUGUUUGGUCGUGAUCCGACAUGCAAUUUAGAAGGUUCCAAGCCGUGACCGCUACAUCUCGUUACUGCAAAGUAAACUCUGAUAAAUUGUUCGGGGGAGUUGUUUACAAGGUGCACGCCAGAUUCCCAGCUUCUUCUCAUCACGGCACGUCACGUCGCGCAGAAAUAUAAGGUCUGACAAUUUCGCCAAGCAGUUCGACGUUAAAACUGAAGCCUUGUACCCUGCGAAAGUCAAGAGGAACGACGAUACUUCUUCCCUCCAGCAAGCUUAAUUUUCUCUCCGCGUCGACGAGUUCCACGCUCGCUUAUUUCCAGUGCAACCGUUCGGUCGCACCUGCACCUGCGGCGAAGAAUCGUCGACGAAAGGCCAGAGGAAGGGUGGAGGGACGAUUCCCAUGGAAGACGUAGGUGGAGUCGAGUAGAUUAUCUCGCCAGACAGCGAAAUGGCAAAGUUCUCGGUCGAAGGUGUAUGUCGACGGACGAAAACGAAGACGGACGAAGCGAACCAUUGAAAGAGGAAGCGAGACGAGGUUACGUAGAGGGUGAAAGAGGAGGAAGAGAAAGCUUUUUAGGCUUUUCUUCGGAACAGUGCAGACGCAGCUGUGUGGAAACUGCAAUGACACGCCCCUCGCCCCAAUCCCUCCUCUCCGUACCGUCAUCUUCCUCGUCUUCCACCCUCGAACUGGUCAGGGGGUAGGUUCUCCGCGAGCUUGGGCUACCGAGCCAGCAGGGUCGAUUCGAACCCUCACCAGCAGUCCUACCCAGUGGUGGGGAAUGAAACAUACACAGGAAUCUCUUUGUGUGCGUUCGACGUCGAUGUUGCUCUGCAUGGUGUGCAGUUGUUCCUCCGGGUCAGACUGGUCCGCUUUCGAACGCCCGCGAGCUGUACGGAGUGUUGAGAAAGUAUACACCCACGGCGAAUCAUGGGUCAAACUUUGCGUUUAACCUUUGCCUUUUAACAUUUAAUACACGUUUACUAUACAUCCUUCUAACUCAAUGAUAACUGGAUUUCUUGAAGGGAUUUCUUCCCUUCUGAGUCUGUAACAGUGUGGGUCCGAUAUAAAUCCUUAUAAUUGAGAUAUAUCAACAAACCUUUUUUCAAAUAUUCAUUCAACUCUUGAAGCAGAGAAUCAGUUCCAUAAACUAUGAUCAUUGUUUUCACGACACCCUGUACAAGCUCGCGCUUCGAGUUUGUUCUUAUCGGUGAAGCUACAUCUCCGUGGUGACGGUGGAUGCUGGGCUGUGGUGGUGGUUGGCUUGAACGUGUCCUCUUUGCCCCUCUGUCCCGGUUGCUCCGCAGCAUCACGCACAGAUCGAUACGCGGCUGCUAGGUACACCUAUUCCAGGAUUCUAGCCGGGUGCGAGAGUGGUUUGGCUGCAGGAUGGAGGAUUUUCGAGCCGGGCGAUUCUUGCAAUCGCGCCUCUUCCUUCGAUUGCGAGAGCCGAUCAGCCGAUACACUGAAGAAAGGCGAUCAUUUGGAAAGGCCAGCUGCCGCGCGACGAAAUUACAUCGGCGAAUUUCGCGCGGAAAUGCUUGCCCACUAUCGUUGGAAACGUUCCAGCUUCCUUUCGGAUAUUCGUUUUUCUUCUUUCUUUCUCCACCUGUCGCGUCGAUGUUUAUUGGACCAUCCAGUUGCAGUGCAUUUGAAAUGGUAUUGGGUCUGAUAAAGAAGAAUCUUAAUUGGGUUAUUUUAUUUCGAUGUUGAUGAAGUCUUCUGUCAGGUACAACUCUUGAAGUUGAUACACUUGUUCGUAUGUUCAUUCACAGUUGAUAAACGAAUCGCUAAUUAUGCCAACGUACCAUAAUUAUGAUAAUCUGACGUUCAUCAGAUCGACUCGCGAUAUUCUCAGCAACAAUAAUUAAUCGAAUAUACAACGUCAUCAUACUCCACUUUUAUGUUCAGUACCGAAACAUGUCCACAACGAAGUUGAACAGCCGUUCAAUUAAAUCGUGCAACACCGAUCGUCAGAUCUCUUCAAGAUUUUUCAUGGCUCGCGUAAAAACGAUCGAACCACUGUGCAAGCAAUUCGCUAAUCUAACCGGUGGUCAACAGAAAGAAACCACGAUAAUCAUGCUCCAUUUGCGAGACACCGGCGACACAGCUUAUCUGUACACCGAAAAAUGGCCAAGCGUCUUCGUUAAGCACGAUCGGCCUGGUCAGAUAAGCUCUUCCUUUUUAUGACUCGGCUGUGUUCGCGCGAUCAGCCAUCGAAUCGACCAGCUCCUCCUACCUUCAGGGUCUUCUCCGCCCUUCAUCCUGUUCCGCUGUCGGCGAACUGAAAGUCGGAAGAACGUAUUCGCUUCCACAGGAAGCGAUGUUUUGUUUUUUGUUUUUUAUUUUUGUCUUAUUCCAUAGUCCAUCAAAUUCCAUUUUCCAAAGAACUAAUGGAGAAAUCGAAUAUCUACUCAAACAUCCAACCAUUUUCUAUCAAUUUCAUUACAGCAUUCCUAUAAAAGACUUCGUAAGGCGGCAACAUUUCAAACGUGUCGCGUUAAUGAGGCAGAAAGUCGGCUUCUACACCGCGAGAGUAAAUAAAGCGAGUAAAUAAAGAAGGAUUUUUAUUCACGGCAAAUUGCAGGCUAUCUCGAUAAAUGUACGGUCCGUUUCGAAAGCAGCUACGGGUAAAAAGGAAUCAUUUCAAAGAAAGAAAGAAGACAGAGAAAAAAGGAAAGAACAGUGGAAUCUGCGUUUAAUCCAUGACCAGAUAACGGUCUCGAUUGGAUCCUACUCUCCAAUCGUGCCACUCUUAACGAGCAACUAUUUUUCGUUCACUAAUGGCUUUCGAACGAAAUAAAUGUGUUACUAUUCGUCCACAAAGAUAAUUAUAAUAAUGAGGAGAACAAAGUCGAAUCAGUGUUCCUUGGAAAAUAUGUCAUUUUUUGUGAACAAGAUUGAUUUUGAAGGUAAUCAUACAUUUGAUUGCACACCUCUGACUAUAUAAUCCCAAAGAAACUGAAUUCGCCGAACAGAUGUGUUAGCCACCCCGACACACAAUUUCUGCCGGUCGAGACAGAAACGAGGAGCAGCGGUGCACGUGGGCGGUAUCAUUGGUCCGCGAGCGAAUAAAUGAAUUAGUAAAUAACGAAUUUUAUCCCGCGGCAUUGGCCAGGAAUCCGAUAAGCUGGCAACCUGGCAUGGUGAUUUCCAGGUGGUAGGGGAUAUCUGGCGUAUAAAAAGCACGCGUUAUGCCUACCUGUCCGUCCAAUGGGGUAGCUUCAGUCCCGCCGAGCAAAGGGGGGAACCGUUUUUCGAAUGAACGAAGAAGCAGAAGAGGAAAAAAAAAUGAAGAAGAAGAAGAAGAGAAACAUCGAAUCGAUGCGGUUUCUUACGGGGAACGGGUUCGAGAGCGUUGGCGAAACGCGGUGUCCGCUGGGAAAAGAAAACGAAGAGGACGGACGCGAGUAGAAGAGGAUCCGAAGAGAGAAGGGAUGAAAAGUGCGAAAGAACGCAACCGUGUCUGAUAACUUUAGAACCCUCCCGGGUCUUUAUUGAUACUUGGACGUUUCCACUUGUCCCAUAUACAUACCGGUGCGCCCCGCGGAUACGCUUCGACCCUCGAGCGCACGCCACGGAAUGUCCAGGAUUACGUGAACCAACAGCCUCCUGAUCUUUUCUCUUUUAUUUCUUAUUUCCUAGCUCUCGCGUCGAUUGCUUUUUAUUGUAUCCGCGAUGCUUCGAUUUUUUACCUUCGUUGAUCUUGUAUCAGCAAACUGGACACCAUUUUGUUGUGAACUUUGUUGAUCCAUCUAGGAAGACACACCAUUCUAAGUGGAUAAGGUGCUCGAUCGGCGACGAGGUUCAAUGUACCUGUCAAAGCUCAUGAAAUGUCGACCCAAUUUCCCGUCUGGAACGAAAGGACCGACGAAAAAUUCGGUUUACGAUUAUUACGCAUUGCGGUGGUGAUCUUGAUAUAAAUAGAGCGGCCGCGUGGCUGAUGGACGCCUCUCUAAAUCACGCUAUUCCGCGCGAGGAAGCUCGUCUUCCUCACGUGUUAUCAAGAUUCAAUGCUCUCGUGACCAGCUUCUCUGGUGAAACCUUUACUAGACUUAUGGCUACUCUAAGUACUUAUUAAAUGUUUAAAAAUUUUCCAUAAUCUUUAUUUAUAUUUCUACGUGCCAAUAAAAAAUUUAAUUUAAGAAUUUUUAUUACUAUUAACAGAAUUAUGUUAUUUAGUACAAUACAUCUGCAUCAAU